This 520-nucleotide ribosomal RNA is filed under the name uncultured Glomus. RNAcentral's name for it is "SSU rRNA". It matches the Rfam family "Eukaryotic small subunit ribosomal RNA", at positions 571 to 1092 of the family's 1831-position model. Lineage: Eukaryota; Fungi; Glomeromycota; Glomeromycetes; Glomerales; Glomeraceae. The record is from RNAcentral.
CAGCCGCGGUAAUUCCAGCUCCAAUAGCGUAUNUUAAAGUUGCUGCAGUUAAAAAGCUCGUAGUUGAAUUUCGGGACCAUCAUGUCGGUCGUGCCUCGGUACGUACUGGCAUCGUUGGUUUCUCCCUUCUGAAGAACCUUGAUGUCAUUAAUUUGGUGUCUUGGGGAAUCAGGACUGUUACUUUGAAAAAAUUAGAGUGUUUAAAGCAGGCUCGCGCUUGAAUACAUUAGCAUGGAAUAAUGAAAUAGGACGUUUGAUUCUAUUUUGUUGGUUUCUAGGAUCGACGUAAUGAUUAAUAGGGAUAGUUGGGGGCAUUAGUAUUCAAUUGUCAGAGGUGAAAUUCUUGGAUUUAUUGAAGACUAACUACUGCGAAAGCAUUUGCCAAGGAUGUUCUCAUUAAUCAAGAACGAAAGUUAGGGGGAUCGAAGACGAUCAGAUACCGUCGUAGUCUUAACCAUAAACUAUGCCGACUAGGGAUCGGAUGAUGUUAAUUUUUUAAUGACUCAUUCGGCGCCUUACG